AACGAACGCUGGCGGCAUGCCUAACACAUGCAAGUCGAACGAGACCUUCGGGUCUAGUGGCGCACGGGUGCGUAACGCGUGGGAACCUGCCCUUAGGUUCGGAAUAACUCCCCGAAAGGGGUGCUAAUACCGGAUAAUGUCUUCGGACCAAAGAUUUAUCGCCUUUGGAUGGUCCCGCGUUGGAUUAGCUAGUUGGUAGGGUAAAAGCAUACCAAGGCGACGAUCCAUAGCUGGUCUGAGAGGAUGAUCAGCCACACUGGGACUGAGACACGGCCCAGACUCCUACGGGAGGCAGCAGUGGGGAAUAUUGGAAAAUGGGCGAAAGCCUGAACCAGCAAUGCCGCGUGAGUGAUGAAGGCCUUAGGGUUGUAAAGCUCUUUUACCCGGGAUGAUAAUGACAGUACCGGGAGAAUAAGCUCCGGCUAACUCCGUG
RNAcentral lists this ribosomal RNA (433 nucleotides) under uncultured bacterium. Its description in RNAcentral is "partial 16S ribosomal RNA". It matches the Rfam family "Bacterial small subunit ribosomal RNA", at positions 29 to 507 of the family's 1533-position model. The record is from RNAcentral.